Aegilops tauschii subsp. strangulata is the source of this 1430-nucleotide long non-coding RNA. RefSeq lists it as uncharacterized. The record is from RefSeq and is a predicted model, not a curated record. NCBI's taxonomy places the organism in Eukaryota, Viridiplantae, Streptophyta, Magnoliopsida, Poales, Poaceae.
UAUCUGGACCUCAGUGGCAACUCUCUCUGGGGCUCAAUCCCAUCAAGCAUCGGUGCUCUUGCCAAGCUCACUCACUUGGAUCUAUCCAACGAUGGCCUGAACGGAUCUAUCCAACAAGCAUCCCUAGACUUGCCCCAUCUUGUCUAUUUGAAGAUUGGUAACAACCUCCUUUCGGGCAGAAUCCCUUCAAGCACUGGGGCUCUUGCCAAGCUCGCAUACUUGGAUCUGUCUGUCAACAAUCUUGAUGGAUAUCCCAACAUUCAUAGACUUGCCCAAUCUUGUGUAUCUGAGCUUCAGUCGUAAUGCUCUCUCGGGCCCAAUCCCACCAAGCAUUGGCACUCUUACCAAGCUCGUAGUCUUGGAUCUAUCCUUCAAUGGCUUGAACGGAUCUAUCCCAACAUCCAUAGACGUGCCCAAUCUUGUGUAUCUGAACUUCAGCCGCAACGCUCUCUCGGGUCCAAUCCCAUCAAGCAUUGGCGCUCUUACAAAGAUCAUGGUCUUGGAUCUAUCCUUCAAUGGCCUGAACGGAUCUAUCCCAACAUCCCUAGACUUGCCCCAUCUUGACAAUCUGAACCUCGGUCACAACUCUCUCUUGGGCCUAAUCCCACCAUCGAUAGCUAAUUGUACUAAACUAACCUCUCUCGAUCUCUCGCAUAAUUUUUUGUCCAAAGGAUCCAUUGGAAGCAUAGGAAAUAUGAUGAGUUUAGGAUACUUAGAUCUUUCCAACAAUUAAAUAAAGGGUUCCUUCCCUUCGGCCAUAUUGAAAUUAGCAUCUUUAACAACACUGUCACUUGCAUCAAAUCAGCUUAACGGCCAAUUACCGCCAGAGUUAGGUUCUCUUGUUCUACUCACAUAUCUGAAUCUAAGUAGCAACCAGUUUCUAGGAAGCAUUCCACCACAGAUAGUACAUUGCCACCUUUUAUAAUCGUUACUCAUAUCAGACAACUUAUUGACAGGACAAAUACCACAAGAACUUGGGUAUCUCACCGACCUAUAUGAGCUGGAUUUGAGUAGAAACAAUUUAAGUGGUGCCAUUCCAAUGACCUUAUCUAAUCUUCACCGACUGUAUAGGCUGAAUUUAUCACAUAACAGUUUGGGUGGCAGAGUUUGGUAUACAUCUAUCCCUGAAUACUUGCCCAUUGUUUCGCUUGACCAUAAUAUGAAUUUAUGCGGCGAAUCGCAGUAUGGCUUAAUGCCAUGUGAAUCACCAUCAUUGGAUCUUGGAAGACAACAACGAAGUAGUAAACAUUCAAAUAUGAUACCUCUUCUUGUUUUUGCUUCUUGUUGCUUCAUUUGUGUUGCAAUACCAAUCAUUGUGGUUGUUUGUUGGAAAGUAAAACCGUUAAAUACUAAUUCUAGAAAAUGCAAGUCUAGAGAUAUACUUGUUGGGGAACGUAGUAAUUUCAAAAAAUUUCCUACGCACACGCAAG